GAUGAACGCUGGCGGCGUGCCUAAUACAUGCAAGUAGAACGCUGAAGGAGGAGCUUGCUCUUCUGGAUGAGUUGCGAACGGGUGAGUAACGCGUAGGUAACCUGCCUGGUAGCGGGGGAUAACUAUUGGAAACGAUAGCUAAUACCGCAUGACAACAGUUAUUGCAUGAUAAUUGUUUAAAAGGGGCAACUGCUCCACUACCAGAUGGACCUGCGUUGUAUUAGCUAGUUGGUGAGGUAACGGCUCACCAAGGCGACGAUACAUAGCCGGCCUGGGAGGGUGAUCGGCCACACUGGGACUGGGACACGGGCCAGACUCCUACGGGAGGCAGCAGUAGGGAAUCUUCGGCAAUGGACGGAAGUCUGACCGAGCAACGCCGCGUGAGUGAAGAAAGGUUUCGGAUCGUAAAGCUCUGUUGUAAGAGAAGAACGAGUGUGAGAGUGGAAAGUUCACGCUGUGACGGUAUCUUACCAGAAAGGGACGGCUAACUACGUG
This 495-nucleotide ribosomal RNA is filed under the name uncultured bacterium. RNAcentral describes it as "partial 16S ribosomal RNA". It matches the Rfam family "Bacterial small subunit ribosomal RNA", at positions 28 to 507 of the family's 1533-position model. The record is from RNAcentral.